Molecule: RNA transcript, 1520 nt
Organism: Rhodamnia argentea
Lineage: Eukaryota; Viridiplantae; Streptophyta; Magnoliopsida; Myrtales; Myrtaceae
Gene name: MADS-box protein AGL42-like
Exons: 8
Source: RefSeq, a predicted model, not a curated record
UUUUUUGGUCUUUGCCCUCUCAUCCCUCUCUAGGGUUUCUGAGUUCAUGGUCAUUUUUGUGGCAUGGAGAAGAGAAGCUAAAUCUGUGUUGCUCCGACCAUUGAUUUCGUGCAAUCUUUAUCCUGUGGUUGUUGCUUGGGUUCGAAUGGUUUUGCUUCUGCGGUACUUCAUUCUAAAGUCUACAGAAUAGGAGGAGGGAACUAAAAGAUAGAUAGAUAUUCAGCUGGCUGAAGCUGCACAAAGGACUUGGGUUUGAUGAUCGUAACGUCUGUAGGGAGAAUUUUGACCAUGGCGAGAGGCAAAGUUCAGAUGAGGCGAAUCGAGAACACGGCGAGCCGGCAAGUCACCUUCUCGAAGCGCCGGAGCGGGCUGCUGAAGAAAGCUUACGAGCUCUCGGUCCUCUGCGACGCCGAAGUCGGCGUGAUCAUCUUUUCGCAGAAAGGAAGGCUUUAUGAGUUCUCGAGCAGUUCCGAAAUCCAAAAUACAAUUGAUCGGUAUCGUAGAUCUUCAAAUGAUGCGGAUACAUACAAGGCUAAUAUGGAACAGUAUCUUCUGCAUUUGAAGCAAGAAACCACGGAUAUGGAGAGGAAGAUUGAGCUUCUUGAAGUUUCACUACGGAAGCUGUCAGGACAAUGUCUUGGAUCUUGUUCAACUGAUGAAAUCCAAAUGAUAGGGGAUCAGCUCGAGCGAAGUUUGGGCGGCAUUAGGGCAAGAAAGGCUCAAUUAUUCAACGAUAAGAUACAGCAGUUACAAGAAAAGGUAAGUAGAGGAAUUCGAAGAAUGCGUGUCAGAUCUCGUCAGACAUUGUUAUAUUCCUGGUUAUAUAAAUCUAGCAACUUUGUUUGGUGUAAUUCAGGAGAGGUCUCUGAAAGAAGAGAAUGCAAAGCUUCUUGCAAAGUGCUAUGCAAAUCCUUGGCAGUCAACAGCUUAUCCGAGAGUAGCAGCAAUAGAUAGCCAGAGCAGCCGGAGUGAAGAUGUUGAGACCGGGUUGUCCAUUGGACUGCCGGAAAGUCUGAUUCGCCAUCACCCGGCACAAGUCUAGUAAUACCUGUUCAAUAGUGUAUAAGUAAGAAUAGCGAAGGCAAAGAAAGAUCGGAUCAGAAAUGAGCCAUGACAAGGACACAUACUCAAAGGAAGAAUCAGCGGAGCAAAGGAAAUAAUUUGCCCGCACCUUGGGCUUCACAUUUGAAUCACACGACAGCUGAUUCCAAGAAAGACACAUAUCUGUUGAGCAUAUUUUCGAGCAACUUGCGUGCAUUUAAACAUCAGUGGACCCCUCCUUAAGGUUGGCUAAGCCAAAAGAUGUCAAUCCAUCACCCCUCCAUGAUUUUCUUCAACGUUGGUGCAUGAAGACAAAUGGGUCAGGGUAUCUGAACUAUUCUGGAUUCAAAAUUUGUCAUUUUGCAGAAUGAGGCUAUCUAGUAGACUUGUAUUCCAUCCCAAACAACGAGGUCCAACUUUUUGCACCCUGACAGAAGUUAAGCUUACACGUGAAUUCGCGAGUGAUGACAUGUUUCCUA